CUCUCGUCCACCAACAAGACACAGACUCCAUUUUUGCGCCAAAAACUCAGAGUUAAGCACCACCCCACCUCACACACUUGCCAUGGCCGUACAUAGUUGUGUUUUGAUUCCAUCCAGCUCUCAGCCACCCCGUUCCUCGUGGCCGGCGAGCAAUCUCCUCAGCUCUUCUUUUCCCAUCUAGUUUGAUGCUGGGACAACGGGUGCCCACAAAUGUUGUGACCGUAGUCAGCGUUCGCUGGAACUAGCCCGUAGAUUUGCUACCAUCGACAGUCAUCAAUUUUUUCGCUCGACCCCAACAUCGACGUUUAGCUACGAACUGGCCAGCACCUUGCUGGAACCAGUGUCGUCAUUUGCUACAACUGGCUAGGCGGCGUGCUGGAAGCAGUGUUCAUCGGUGCUGGAACAGGAUGAGCCCCUCGCCGUCGACGAUUUUUUUGCUGGAACCUGCUAGUUUGUUUGCUACAAUCUUUUUCUUUGAAGUUUGCUGAUGUGACUUUCUUUGUUGCAUUUGGUGUUAAUUUUAGCUGGAACGGACUUUUUUUUGCUUCAACUGACAAUUAGAAGUUUUUGCUACUGAGAUUUUUUGCUGGAUCAGUCGCUUUUGUUUUGUUACAACUGGUAUUUUUUUAGCUGGAACCGACUAAAUGUUUUGCUUCAACUAAACAUUUUGGUUUUGCUACAAACUUUUUGCUGGAACACGACGAUGCUAGUGAUGGUGCGGCGAGCCGGAGCUGAUGGUGGGAGAGUUCUUGUUACAACCAUGGCUGCGGUGCACUGGAACCGGUCAACAGCUGAAGCUUCCACACAACGAGGCGUCCAUGAGAAGAGGGACAGCAAGCUGGCAGCGGCGCUAGUGCUGCAGGGGCCGACGACGCUGACGACUGCCAGAUCUAGCGAAGGAGCAGCCCGACAGAGGAGGCGUGGUGCGGGGCGGCGAGGUGCGGAGUCGCGGUGGCAAUUUGGACUGGUGGGGCGGGGGUACUGCAACCGUGAACCUAACUUGCUGGAACCGGCGAGAAGAUUUGCUAGAACCAGCAACCAAAAAUGCUACUACUGGAGUUCAUCCUCAGGGCGUUGCUACGACCACAUCCUGUUUUUGCUACCACCGGCGUUUUCUUUUGCUACAUGCAUGCACGGCGGUGUUGGUUGACAGUGGCAAUGUCUUUUUGUUUUGCUGCAGCCGUCUUAGAGUUUUGCUGGAACCAGUGUACAAUUUUGCUGGAACGAGCUUUUUCUUUUUUCGACGGUGACCAUGGCGACCACGGGGCGUGAGCUGACUUGCUGCAACCGGCAAACCAUAAGCUGCCACUUUUGAGCUGAUUUGUUACGAUGCGGAAUCAAAUGCUACUACCGGCAAACAGAAAAGCUAGAACCGGCGAUUCAGAAGAUCCAUUGACAGAAGAAAAUGUUUCAACCGGCAAACUAAAAAGCUGGAACCAGCAGAAUCAAUUGCUACUACGGGCAAAACAGAAAGGAUGGUGCUAGCUAAAACUGGUGAGUCAGUGCUGCGAUGGAUGUGCCCAUGCCGGCGUGGACGCGUGACCGGCGAGACGGCGUGCUGGGACUGGGAGUCUCUUUUUGCUGCAACUAGCAGGGAGCGGGGCUUCCAUGGGGAGCCGUAGUACCCAAGAUGGCUGGCCAGAUGUAGAAGCUAGGACCGGUGGCAAGCAGCGGAGGGCAGCGCUGCGAGGCGUCGGGUGCGAGCAGCCGGCGGCUGUGCCCUUGCCGGAGCCGCGUACGGGGGUGGAGUUGCGUGCUGAUGAGGCGGGGGGAUUUUUUCCAUGCGCACGGGAUGAGCUGCACCCUGCAAGUUGUGAAAGAAGAUAAGAAUCUGACGGUCGUUGCUAAUCUAAUCGGAGGGCUGCUAGGCGACCGGCCCAAAUUUGGGCCGGCGCACCGGCGCAGAGUGCUGCCCU
This 1916-nucleotide ribosomal RNA is filed under the name Triticum aestivum (bread wheat). Its description in RNAcentral is "partial small subunit ribosomal RNA". Lineage: Eukaryota; Viridiplantae; Streptophyta; Magnoliopsida; Poales; Poaceae. The record is from RNAcentral.